Molecule: ribosomal RNA, 443 nt
Filed under: uncultured bacterium
Lineage: Bacteria
Description: bacterial SSU rRNA
Rfam family: Bacterial small subunit ribosomal RNA
Source: RNAcentral
AACGCGAAGAACCUUACCUGGGCUCGAACGGCUAGUGACAGGCGGCGAAAGUCGUUUUUCCCGCAAGGGACACUAGUCGAGGUGCUGCAUGGCUGUCGUCAGCUCGUGUCGUGAGAUGUUGGGUUAAGUCCCGCAACGAGCGCAACCCUUAUCCCUAGUUGCCAUCGGGUCAAGCCGGGCACUCUAGUGAAACCGCCCCGGAUGACGGGGAGGAAGGUGGGGAUGACGUCAAGUCCUCAUGGCCUUUAUGUCCAGGGCUACACACGUGCUACAAUGGUCGGUACAAACCGUCGCAAACCCGCGAGGGGGAGCUAAUCGGAAAAAGCCGGCCUCAGUUCGGAUUGGAGUCUGCAACUCGACUCCAUGAAGCUGGAAUCGCUAGUAAUCGCGGAUCAGAACGCCGCGGUGAAUACGUUCCCGGGCCUUGUACACACCGACUGUAC